RNAcentral lists this ribosomal RNA (411 nucleotides) under uncultured Rhizophagus. RNAcentral describes it as "partial 28S ribosomal RNA". The record is from RNAcentral. Lineage: Eukaryota; Fungi; Glomeromycota; Glomeromycetes; Glomerales; Glomeraceae.
GAGAGUUAAACAGUACGUGAAAUUGUUGAAAGGGAAACGAUUGAAGCCAGUCGUACCUAUGGGUAAUCAGCCUUUUGGGUGUGAUUUUGUGGAGCGUGAAGAGUUAAACGCCUUCAUGCCUGCAUAUUCGUGCACUUUGGGUGUACUUGCCCGUGUGUAAGUUAACAUCAAUUUUGGUGGUCAUAAAAUGGCUGGAGGAAUGUAGCUUCGAUCUUGUAUUGAAGUGUUAUAGCCUUCGGUAGAUGUGACGAUCGGGAUUGAGGAUUGCAACGGAUACCCUUCGGGGCUACCUGUCUGAUCUCUGAUUGUUGCUCUGGUGCCGAAAGCUUGCUUACGGUUAUUAAAGUCGAUGGUCAAUAGGUUAGAAUGGGUUAAAUUCGUUAAGGAUGUUGACGUAAUGGCUUUAAACGA